Lactuca sativa (garden lettuce) is the source of this 3165-nucleotide non-coding RNA. Lineage: Eukaryota; Viridiplantae; Streptophyta; Magnoliopsida; Asterales; Asteraceae. The record is from RefSeq and is a predicted model, not a curated record.
ACAAACGCACAUUAUUACCUCUCUUUUAUCUGGUAAGGCUAGAGAACGCGAGCCACUCAAACCAAUUUGAGGUCCCUGUUAAUUCUCAAUGGAUACAACCUAAGAAAAGCAAACAUUCAAAGUACUAUAGUUAAAUUGCUCUAAUGAUGAACACAUACAUAGUUUUCAUUAACCAUUCGUAAUGGUCAUGGUCUGGAAUAGGAACCUGAGACAUCAACGACGUAGGCGGAAGCGGAAGCGGAAGACAAAAGAGUGGUACCGAAACACAAUUUAAAAAUGAAGCAUGGGAUGAACUACUAACCUCUUCUGAAGAAUCGAAGUCACCGGAAUCGAAGUAGGGGAAUCAACAGUCGGUGGAACCCUAAUCUGAAAAGAGAAAAGAAAUGAGAGAAGAAGAUUCUAAAGAUGGUAAGGAAAAGCAGUGGAAGACGUAAAUCAUGUUAAUAUAUCGUUUUAAAUUGAGGAUUUAAGCUUCAUCGUGUUAAUAUAUCGUUUUAAAUUGAGGAUUUUGGGGUUUUAAGGAUCUGCAUACGCGUCUUUGCUGAUCUUCUAUUUGCUCUGCGGAUUCUUUAUUGCUCUGCGGAUCUUCUAUUCCUCUUUACUCGAACGCGGAAGGAGAGUAGGGUAGUCGAUUCGCGGAAGGAAGCUGCGGAUGUCGAUUCAUGAUCGGAACGGACACAAAAAUGUCGCGGAGAGCUCGAUUUGCGGAGCAACUGCACUCCGAUGUGUUAUCCGAUGGAUAUGGAACUCAACAUAGUUUGCGUGGAUAGCCUGCAGAAUGUACUUUUAGAGGGGUGUUGGGGACUAUAUUUAAAAAGUUCAUUACAAAACUAAAUAGUAGGCGAGUUGAAUUAUUUUGAGAGACAGCUUUUGGGAUGUUCAUUGGUAUGCCCACCCCUAAUGGUUAGCUGAUGCUCUGUCAUUUGAUGAUGUUGUAUGAGGUUCGUGAUGUAGAGGUAGCCAGGGCUGGGAAGUUUCGGUUCGAGUUACAAGGCAGGGUAGUUGAAUAUGGUGAAAUGAAAUUUUGUUUGAUUAACGGUUUGAGAUUUGGACCGUAUGUUGUUAUAAUAAAUACAAAAGUCAGCACAAGUUCAACAUUAAGGAAUUGGCUGUUCCCUAGUGUGAGAGAUGAAUAUUUACGGAUGAAAGAUUUAGAAGGGUACAUAAAAGGGCUAGCAUUCUCGAUGUGUAGCGAUGAGGAUGCGGUAAUGGUUAUGCAAAUGGUGUUUUUGUUGAGGGGUCUCAUAGGACGAGACAAUAAUACGUGCAUUCUGCCGACAAUGUAUGAGCUAGCCGAUAGUCAAUAUAAUUGGAACAGAUAUCUACGUGAUAAUGAGAGUGUGGGCUACACGAGGAUGAUGAAGUAUACGGUUACCAGUUUUCAACUUCCGUUUAAGGUAUAGAUUUUGGAGACAUUUCCAGAAGCUUUGAGGUUUGUGCAUCACACAGAAAAUGAAAUUCCAAGAAUGAGGGCAUGGAGAAUAAAAACACCAUUAUCUCUCGAACAAUGUUUACGUAUAUUAGACUUUUCAGUGGAAAAUAACAUCCCACGUGUUUUUGAAGCAACGCCUAUUGAGAUCCAUUUUCCAUUCUUUGUGCGUUACGUAAAUUGGACUCUAGACAAAGUUCAGUCGCCACCGCAACAAUAGAGUCCUCCUAAGGAGCAGUCUCCAUCACUGCAACAACAGAGUCCUCCUAAGCAGCGGUCUCCAUCACCUCACCUGUUUAAGUUUUAGGAAGCAGACUACACCUCAGGCUCUCAUUUUCGAGGAGCAGAUUACACCUCAACCUCUCAUUUUCAGGAAACACACCACACAGAAGACAAUAAAAUUGACAAGUUAUUGGGCGUUGUCACUCAAUUAAAAACCAGAAUCGAGCACUUUGGGAAGAGAAUGGAUAGUUAGGAAAAUGAUAAACAAUUUGGUGUGAACGAUAUGAAAAAUGUGGAUGUGGGGGAAGCAUUUUUUCGUCGUUUGGAUCCCGAGUCAAGUCACACGUAUGUGCAGACGCCACCGCUUGUUGUUGUAGUUAAGGAUAACACAGUUACACCGUUAAAAGGGCGGGUAAAAAUGAAAUCGGAAUUUUGUAGGGAGCCUUACACACAAGUAUAAAAUUAAGUAAUUACUAUUUAUAUAGUAUAUAAUCGUUCCAAAUUAAUUAACAUAUUGAUUUUGUAGGUUCCGUCGACGGAACCAUUCAAUAACAGAAAAGGGAAAAAACUAUAGAAGUCCAAUAAUGUAGAAAAAAGACCAUUACUAUUGGACAUUUAUGCAGAUAGUGAUGAAGAAUUUUGGAAAUUGUGGGGAAAGAACAUGGGAGAGGUAUUUUAGGACCAUAGACUUUUAAGAGGUAUUGAGAUGAAUUGAGAAUUUUGAUCAAGUUUACUUGGUAGCUCUCUGAGAUAACAUACAUCCCUUAUUUUAUAUUACAAAAGUGUUGGAUAAUUAAUUGUACAAAAUGAAUUUUUUUUAACAUGCAACAUUUGGUUAUCUGGACGUCCCUGCUCAAGGAAAUAAAUCCGUCGACCUGUAGGUGGAUGAUUAUUAAUCCUAAAGGCAUGACUUUGAAACCUGGGAAACAACAUUAUUUGAUGCGUGUAGCAGCCGGGAUGGUUGAUAGACCACAUUGGAAGCAUAUUGAUCGGGUUUUAAUUCCCAUCAACAUACCGCACUUGCAUUGGUAUUUGGCUAAUUUGGAUAUCCUUACAUGGAAAGUGAGCAUAUAUGAUUUAGCCGAAUGGUGUGGUUUCUUUAAAAGAUAUGCGGGUGACGCUAGUUACGCUAGUUUGAAAUCGUUAGGAGAUAGUAUAUUAAGUGAACUAGAACACAUAUCAUAUUGUGUCCAUUUUCGCAAUAGACAGAAACCUACUAAGGUGGAAUUCGUUAAAGCUAACAUGUGCCACAGCAGUAAAAAGUUGAAGAAGGAGAAAGAGGAGAUUGUGGAGUUUAUGUGUGCGUGUUCAUGGAAAUGCUUCCAUUGGGUGUACCAGUGGAGACACGUCGGUCACCUAGAGAUACUAUAUUUAGUUAUCGUAAUAGGAUGACAAAAAUUAUUUGGAAUAGUAGACUUUGGUUGUAUUAUGAUUAUUGUUUUAAGAAUAUUUUAUUAUGUUUUCAUUAUGUUAUUUGGAAUAGUAGACUAGUCGUCCCUAAUUCUUACUUUAUC